RNAcentral lists this unclassified non-coding RNA (302 nucleotides) under uncultured fungus. Its description in RNAcentral is "partial contains small subunit ribosomal RNA, internal transcribed spacer 1, and 5.8S ribosomal RNA". The stretch from base 1 to 73 matches the Rfam family "Eukaryotic small subunit ribosomal RNA", at positions 1759 to 1831 of the family's 1831-position model. The record is from RNAcentral. Lineage: Eukaryota; Fungi.
GCAAACUUGGUCAUUUAGAGGAAGUAAAAGUCGUAACAAGGUUUCCGUAGGUGAACCUGCGGAAGGAUCAUUACCGAAUUACCUGCCCCACGCCUUGUGCGCGGGUGCUCGUUUGAACCUCUUGAUCUUGAUCUUGGUGCUCAUAUCUCUGCACCACUAGUGGUGGAGGUGUGGGGUGCCCUUAUCAAGAUGUCCUAUCAUACACACACUCAAACUUGUCACUGUAUGGUGUUGAACUUUGAACAUAUAAUAUAACUUUCAACAACGGAUCUCUUGGCUCUCGCAUCGAUGAAGAACGCAGC